AUGAGUCAUCUUGCUACUUUUGCACGUUUAUUUGCAUAUGAAAUCACCAGAAUUUUCGCCAUGGCUCUGGUUCUUGACAUGGUGCUUAAAAGCACUCAUCCCAUCUUGAUUAUUCGCAUACAGUUUUUUGUUUUUGUUUUUACUGAUUCACUUCUAUCGACAUUUUUUUAUGUCCCUUUUUAUGACCAGCUUGGUCAUUUGGUCUGGAUGGAGUCAUUCAACUCGGAAAGAAAAAAGAAUUUGAGAAUGCUUUAUCUUUCAUGCAAUAGUUGCGGUCAAUUGUUCUUGGUUUUUCCUGUAGUAGUUGAUAAUUAG
RNAcentral lists this ribosomal RNA (315 nucleotides) under Triticum aestivum (bread wheat). Its description in RNAcentral is "partial small subunit ribosomal RNA". Lineage: Eukaryota; Viridiplantae; Streptophyta; Magnoliopsida; Poales; Poaceae. The record is from RNAcentral.